This is a long non-coding RNA of Eupeodes corollae, 409 nucleotides long. RefSeq lists it as uncharacterized. The record is from RefSeq and is a predicted model, not a curated record. Lineage: Eukaryota; Metazoa; Arthropoda; Insecta; Diptera; Syrphidae. The transcript has 2 exons.
UAUUUGGCUUAACGAUAAAAAAAAUAGUAUUUAAAAAAGAAAUUUCAGUGCAUUUUCAAUUCAUUCAAUCCAAAUUAUCAAUAUGGGUAAAAUGUCAAUUUUCGUUACUGUCGUUAUUGGUGUCCUAGUACUCCUUGUGGACACAGCUCUUUGUCAAGUUAACGCAAAUGUCCCUGGUGUAAUUGCAGCAACGGUAUUACCAAGAGAAGGAAACUAAACUCAAAUUAAAGUUGACUUAACAAAUUUGUAUACGAAAAUUAAACUAAUUAUAUUAAUUCAAUUUUUUUGAUUAUUAUUCUGCAGUUAUAUAUUAAUACCUCGAAAGAAAAAAUAAGUUAAUAAAUAUGUACAAUGCUAAACAAAACUAAAUCCAUGCAAUGCUAAAUAAAAACUUCGCCAACAGAUUAAA